Haliotis rubra (blacklip abalone) is the source of this 644-nucleotide long non-coding RNA. RefSeq lists it as uncharacterized. The transcript is spliced from 2 exons. The record is from RefSeq and is a predicted model, not a curated record. Lineage: Eukaryota; Metazoa; Mollusca; Gastropoda; Lepetellida; Haliotidae.
CACAGGCUUACGACAGUGGUAGCGCUACGAACAUCGUAACCCCUAUACUUUUGCACAGCUUUACGACAGUCGUAGCGCUACGCACAUAGUAACCCCUAUACUUUAGCACAGGCUUACGACAGUCGUAGCGCUACGCACAUCGUAACCCCUAUACUUUAGCAUAGGCAUAAAACAUAAAUUCCUGAUGCAUGUUUCACACAGCGAUCGUAGCUCUACGAAUAUCACAAAUACUGAAAAGAAACAUUCUUAUUGUGUCUUCUGUAAAACACCUGAACAAUAACCCUUGACAAAAUUGAUGGCUGUUACAUGUAAGGCAAUCAAUGUUCAAUGCGCCAAUGAUCAUUUACCGGACAUACAAACAACAUCCUCUCUUCUACUUCAAGUAAAGGAGAGUUGUUAACAUUCCUUAUUUUUAUAAAUGUCUGAUAAUACACUUUUUCCAUGUAUGACUGGUGUUGGAGUGAUCUUUGACAGUUGGGUUAUUGAACUGAAGUCGUUUUUUCUUGAUAAUUUGCCGGACAUACAUAAAAAUCUCUCUUCUACUUUCUGCUACUUAACACAAGCCUUGAUAAUGAGAUCAAUUUCUUCCGGCAGGUCCAGUGAUGGAGUUUUAAUUAAUGUCUGAUAAUAAACUCUUUUAAUAU